RNAcentral lists this ribosomal RNA (1385 nucleotides) under uncultured bacterium. RNAcentral describes it as "bacterial SSU rRNA". It matches the Rfam family "Bacterial small subunit ribosomal RNA", at positions 28 to 1381 of the family's 1533-position model. The record is from RNAcentral.
GACGAACGCUGGCGGCGUGCUUAACACAUGCAAGUCGAACGGGCCUUGUCCCCUUUUUUUGGGGGUGGGGUUAGUGGCGAACGGGAGAGUAACACGUGAGUAACCUGCCCCUCACUUCUGGAUAACCGCUUGAAAGGGUGGCUAAUACGGGGUGUUCUGGCCUGCUCGCAUGGGUGGGUUUGGAAAGAUUCCACCGGUUUUCCUUGUUUUGGCGGGAGAUGGGCUCGCGGCCUAUCACCUUGUUGGUGGGGUGAUGGCCUGCCAAGGCUUUGACGGGUAGCCGGACUGAGAGGGUGGGCCGUCACACUGGGACUGAGACACGGCCCAGACUCCUACGGUAGGCAGCAGUGGGGAAUAUUGCACAAUGGGCGCAAGCCUGAUGCACCGACGCCGCGUGAUGGAUGGAGGCCUUCAGGUUGUGAACCUCUUUCGCCCGUGAAGAAGGUCCUGCUCUUUGUGGUGGGGUUGACAGUAGCUGGGUUAAUGAAGCGACGGCUAACUACGUGCCAUCAGCCGCAGUAAUACGGAGGGCACGAACGUCGUCCCGAAUUUUUGGGCGAAAAGGGCUUGUAGCGGCUGGUCGCGUCUGCCGUGAAAUCCUCUGGCUCAUUUGGGGGCGUGCGGUGGGUACGGGCUGGCUUGAGUGCGGUAGGGGAGACUGGAACUCCUGGUGUAGCGGUGGAAUGCGCAGAUAUCAGGAGGAACACCGGUGGCGAAGGCGGGUCUCUGGGCCGUUACUGACGCUGAGGAGCGAAAGCGUGGGGAGCGAACAGGAUUAGAUACCCUGGUAGUCCACGCUGUAAACGUUGGGCACUAGGUGUGGGGGGCCUUUUCCGGGUUUUCCGCGCCGUAGCUAACGCAUUAAGUGCCCCGCCUGGGGAGUACGGCCGCAAGGCUAAAACUCAAAGGAAUUGACGGGGGCCCGCACAAGCGGCGGAGCAUGCGGAUUAAUUCGAUGCAACGCGAAGAACCUUACCAAGGCUUGACAUGGGCUGGAUUGCUUCGGAGACGGGGUUUCCCUUUUUUGGGCUGGUUCACAGGUGGUGCAUGGUUGUCGUCAGCUCGUGUCGUGAGAUGUUGGGUUAAGUCCCGCAACGAGCGCAACCCUUGUCUCGUGUUGCCAGCACGUUGUGGUGGGGACUCGCGGGAGACUGCCGGGGUUAACUCGGAGGAAGGUGGGGAUGACGUCAAAUCAUCAUGCCCCUUAUGUCUUGGGCUUCACGCAUGCUACAAUGGCCGGUACAGUGGGUUGCGAUGCUGUGAGGCGGAGCGAAUCCCUGAAAGCCGGUCUCAGUUCGGAUCGGUGUCUGCAACUCGACACCGUGAAGUUGGAGUCGCUAGUAAUCGCAGAUCAGCAGCGUUGCGGUGAAUACGUUCUUGGGCCU